RNAcentral lists this long non-coding RNA (203 nucleotides) under Brassica rapa (field mustard). RNAcentral describes it as "long non-coding RNA (BRAP_LNC001365)". The record is from RNAcentral. Lineage: Eukaryota; Viridiplantae; Streptophyta; Magnoliopsida; Brassicales; Brassicaceae.
AAAUAUCCAAACUUUUAUUUGAAUAUCCGAAAUAUCUUUUUUUUUUUUAAUUUAGAAUUUUACCUGAAACCUAAAAGUAUAAUUGAAAACUCAAACCCAAAACAAACAAAAAAAAAAUCUAUAGUACCAAAAAUAUAUUCGAAAUACUCAAUAUACUAAUAUACUCAAAACAUUUCAUGUACUUUCGGUAUCCGAGUCUUGAG